GAUGAACGCUGGCGGCGUGCCUAAUACAUGCAAGUCGAACGGGUAUAGCAAUAUACUAGUGGCGACCGGGUGAGUAACACGUAGCUGACCUGCCCCUCAGCGGGGGAUAACGUUCCGAAAGGGACGCUAAUACCGCAUACACUCGUCGGGACUAGAAGCCGAUGAGGAAACUUCAGGGGUUGAGGGAGGGGGCUGCGGCCCAUCAGGUAGUUGGUGAGGUAACGGCUCACCAAGCCAAUGACGGGUAGGGGGCCUGAGAGGGUGGUCCCCCACACUGGAACUGACACACGGUCCAGACUCCUACGGGAGGCAGCAGUAAGGGAUAUUGGUCAAUGGGCGAAAGCCUGAACCAGCAACGCCGCGUGCAGGAUGACGGCCUUCGGGUUGUAAACUGCUUUGGAAGGGGACGAGCAAGGACGGUACCCUUCGAACAAGUCACGGCUAACUACGUG
This 452-nucleotide ribosomal RNA is filed under the name uncultured organism. RNAcentral's name for it is "bacterial SSU rRNA". It matches the Rfam family "Bacterial small subunit ribosomal RNA", at positions 28 to 507 of the family's 1533-position model. The record is from RNAcentral.